UUCCUGGUUCUUUUUAGAACCACCAAUAUAUUUAAAAAAGAACUAG
This 46-nucleotide non-coding RNA is filed under the name Mytilus galloprovincialis (Mediterranean mussel). It matches the Rfam family "Histone 3' UTR stem-loop". From Rfam's summary of the family: The mRNAs of metazoan histone genes lack a poly-A tail. 3' end processing occurs at a site between a highly conserved stem-loop (modelled by this family) and a purine rich region around 20 nts downstream (the histone downstream element, or HDE). The record is from RNAcentral. Lineage: Eukaryota; Metazoa; Mollusca; Bivalvia; Mytilida; Mytilidae.